UCUUUCGCUGUCUGCCCUAGGUCCCCCCAUACUAUUUCACUAGACCUUUUUAAGCCCUCCUUUUGUCAUUUUUCUUCAAUUCCUUUUGAUUUUAAGCAUGAAUGAGUCCAAGGAAGUAAUUGACCUACCGGUUGAAGCAUCCUCAAAAGAAGAAGCAAAUGCUGAAAUGAUGCUCCUUCCCAUCAUGAGCCUAUGCCUUCCCUAUCUCAGCCUCAUUACCCUGUAUCCAUGGUGCCUCUUGCCACUCGUGUGGUGACCACCAGCUGCAAGAUCGAUUUUGAGUUCUUUGAGAGGGGGAAUUUCAUGAUUGGCAGUGGAGAGCACAGUUGGAAGUUUUUGUAUAGUCUUGACCUACUAACCUACCCCAACCUAGUUCGAGAGUUCUAUGGUAGUCUUCAUCAAAGAUCAAGAGGUAUUGAGUCAUUGGUGAAGGGCACAUGCAUCAUUUUGACCGAGCAGCGACUAGCACAAAUCCUUUAGUUGCUGAGA
This 489-nucleotide long non-coding RNA is filed under the name Elaeis guineensis (African oil palm). Its description in RNAcentral is "long non-coding RNA (EGUI_LNC050588)". Lineage: Eukaryota; Viridiplantae; Streptophyta; Magnoliopsida; Arecales; Arecaceae. The record is from RNAcentral.